RNAcentral lists this ribosomal RNA (305 nucleotides) under uncultured bacterium. RNAcentral describes it as "partial 16S ribosomal RNA". It matches the Rfam family "Bacterial small subunit ribosomal RNA", at positions 337 to 659 of the family's 1533-position model. The record is from RNAcentral.
UCCUACGGGGGGCAACAGUGGGGGAUAUUGCACAAUGGGGGGAACCCUGAUGCAGCGACGCCGCGUGGGUGAAGAAGCGCCUCGGCGCGUAAAGCCCUGUCAGCAGGGAAGAAAAUGACGGUACCUGAAGAAGAAGCCCCGGCUAACUACGUGCCAGCAGCCGCGGUAAUACGUAGGGGGCAAGCGUUAUCCGGAUUUACUGGGUGUAAAGGGGGCGCAGACGGCGAUGCAGGCCAGGAGUGAAAGCCCGGGGCCCAACCCCGGGACUGCUCUUGGAACUGCGUGGCUGGAGUGAAGGAGGGGCG